This 319-nucleotide ribosomal RNA is filed under the name uncultured soil bacterium. Its description in RNAcentral is "bacterial SSU rRNA". It matches the Rfam family "Bacterial small subunit ribosomal RNA", at positions 26 to 373 of the family's 1533-position model. The record is from RNAcentral.
AGAACGAACGCUGGCGGCAUGCCUAAUACAUGCAAGUCGAACGAACUCUUCGGAGUUAGUGGCGCACGGGUGCGUAACGCGUGGGAAUCUGCCCCUUGGUUCGGAAUAACAGUUGGAAACGACUGCUAAUACCGGAUGAUGACGAAAGUCCAAAGAUUUAUCGCCAAGGGAUGAGCCCGCGUAGGAUUAGCUAGUUGGUGAGGUAAAGGCUCACCAAGGUAACGAUCCUUAGCUGGUCUGAGAGGAUGAUCAGCCACACUGGGACUGAGACACGGCCCAGACUCCUACGGGAGGCAGCAGUAGGGAAUAUUGGACAAGU